Drosophila hydei is the source of this 339-nucleotide long non-coding RNA. RefSeq lists it as uncharacterized. The transcript is spliced from 3 exons. NCBI's taxonomy places the organism in Eukaryota, Metazoa, Arthropoda, Insecta, Diptera, Drosophilidae. The record is from RefSeq and is a predicted model, not a curated record.
AUCAGUUGCUGUAGGUCAUUGCAGAGUCUGUGCAGGCAGAUGAGUAAGCGAGAAAGACACGCAAAGAGAGGAAGAGCGACAGCUAUCUUCGAUGCGUUUGGUGGUUCGUUUGUAAUUGCCGGGCUCCCAGAAGGAAUCACUUCCAGCCUGCAGAAGCUGUUCAUCGCUGUGGUGGGACAUUUCCUAAAAGCAUAUUAUUAAAUAAGGCAACACACAUGAAUUCUUAAAGCAGCAAUAAAUCUACAGUUUGUACGACAAUAAACCGUCACUGAGACAUAUAUAUUUGGCAUGAUGACAUACAACUCAAAAGCAAUAUACUCAAGUAUUUGAAUAUCAUUU